GUAUGACACUCACAGUGAAAGCACAAAACAUCAAGCCAACAGUUCAGGACUAGUCAUUCAAAUGGACUAAAGGUGGGGGAGAAAAAAUAAGAGUGGAUAAAAGAAAGAAAGAAAACAGAGAAAGGUGGGAAAAAAAAAACAAAGGAAGGAAGAGAGAAAAGAGAAUGAGAGGAAGAGAAGGAAGGGGAAAAACAAGAUUGACUUUACAGUAUGAGAUAUACUAUUAUAUAUUGUAUGAUGCCUCUGGCUUCCCUCUAUCACACGUCUUCUUUUCGAGUAAAGGUUUUUCAUAAAUGUGAGCGUGGAAGAAGAAACCAGUUAAAUAUGGAACUUCACACCAGGACACAAAAGGACUUCAAACUUUUAGAUUCCACAAGUAUGUGAAAAGAUGCAGUAUUUGUCUUUCUGUGCAUGGUUUACUUCACUUAUCAUCAUGUCCCUCAGGUUCAUCCACGUUGUUGCAAAUGACAGGAUUUCAUUCAUUUUUAAGACUGAAUAGUACUCCAUUAUGCAAAUAUACCAGAUUUUCAUUGUCUAUUCGUUCACUGAUGAACACGGGUUAAUCCUAUAUGUUGGCUAUUGUGAAUAAAGCUGCAAUGAAUAUGAGAGUACAGAUAUAUUCUUGACAUAUUAAUUUUAUUUUAUUUGGCAAUAUACCCAAUAGUAGCUAGAUCAUAUCAGAGUUCUAUUUUUAAUUUUUGAGGAAACUUCAUACUGUUUUUCAUAAUAGUUAUUACUAAUUUACACUCAGUAUACAAGAGUUCCCUUUUCUCCACAUUCUUUCCAAAAUUUGUUUCCUUUUCCCUUUUUGAUAACAGCUACUCUAACUGGGGUGAAAUAAUAUCUCACUGUGGUUUUAAUUUUCAUUUAUCUGAUUAAUGAUUUUGAGCUUUUUAAAAUAAAUACUUGUUGGCAAUUUGUAUGUCAUCUUUUGAGAAGUGUCUAUUAAAAUUUGUUUGCCUAUUU
Molecule: long non-coding RNA, 966 nt
Filed under: Homo sapiens (human)
Lineage: Eukaryota; Metazoa; Chordata; Mammalia; Primates; Hominidae
Description: HSALNT0056839
Source: RNAcentral